GUACUACUCCCUCCAUCCGAAAAAGGUUGUCCCUUAAAUGGAUGUAUUUAGCACCAAAUUAGUGCUAGAUACAUCCAUUUGAGGAACAAGCUUUUUCGGAUGGAGGGAGUAUGAA
This is a non-coding RNA of Triticum urartu, 115 nucleotides long. The record is from Rfam. NCBI's taxonomy places the organism in Eukaryota, Viridiplantae, Streptophyta, Magnoliopsida, Poales, Poaceae.